This 798-nucleotide long non-coding RNA is filed under the name Carassius auratus (goldfish). RNAcentral's name for it is "lncRNA (ENSCARG00000066269.1)". The record is from RNAcentral. Lineage: Eukaryota; Metazoa; Chordata; Actinopteri; Cypriniformes; Cyprinidae.
AUGUCUUGUCAUAUUAUCUUAUCAAAGCUUCUCUGUACUGCUCUUUUUGUUGGAUUGAAUACAAAAAGAGCUCAUUCAAACUUUCCUUUCAUAUUAUACAGUAUAGUUUCUCUCUCUCUCUCUCUCUCUCUCUCUCUCUCUCUCUCAGACUCCAGCACUGGCGUUCCCACCCAGGCCACGAUUAACAAGAAGGCAAAGUCUCGCUUACUGGACAAAGACAGCCGGAACAAGAACCGCCUGAGUCACACGUCAUCUCCUCUGUUCCUCAGUAAAAGCAAACGGCCGCCUCAGUCUCCAGAGCUGAGCGGAGCAACCAAACGCUUGCCUGGUGGACAACAGCCACCGUCCCGCAGACAGCGCAGUAUCAACACACAGGGUGGAAAUCCAGCAGCAUGUCUAAGCAAACUUCACAUUGUGGAGAUGGAUCAGGAGAUCAGAACGCUUGAUUGUUCCUCGUCUGAGAGCUGCAGCUUCACUCUGUUUCUAAAUGGAGACAGAAACUCAUCUAUGUCUUCCGUUACUCUGCACAUGAUCUCAUCCUCCGAGGUCUGGGUGUGGCAGUGUGGAGCCACCAGGGGGCGACUUUGUCCAAAUCAACCAGAAGCUUCUUUCUCACUAGAGCGGAGCGCUUAUACAGCGGGGACCAGCCACCUGUGGUCACUUCCUGUUACGCCUUUUCAAGAGGUCACCUACUAUUUUCGAGUGUCACAUUCAAGACAAACGGGAUGUAGCAAUGAAGAUGGCGAUGUGUCCUCGCAGUGCUCUGAGUACAGUUUCCUCAUUCAAAGCACAUGCUAA